Molecule: small nuclear RNA, 261 nt
Filed under: Rattus norvegicus (Norway rat)
Lineage: Eukaryota; Metazoa; Chordata; Mammalia; Rodentia; Muridae
Description: 7SK RNA
Rfam family: 7SK RNA
About the family: 7SK was discovered as an abundant small nuclear RNA in the mid-70s but a possible function has only recently been suggested. Two independent studies have found that 7SK RNA binds the CDK9/cyclin T complex (known as elongation factor P-TEFb). P-TEFb activates transcription by phosphorylating the C-terminal domain of RNA polymerase II.
Source: Rfam by way of RNAcentral
GGCUCUGAGGACGACCUGUCUGGGACAUCUGUCACCCCAUUGAUUGCCAAGAUGAUCUGACUGGUAUGUGUGGCAGCUGUUCCCUUUCUCUAUCACUGAUCCGCGUUCAUUCUUCUGGAAGCUGCACCCUAGGUUGAAAACCUUCUGCAACAGAAGAACAGUUAUAUUCUCUUGCUAGGUCCUCCAAACAGGUCUCAAGAAAAAAAUGUAAAUAUCAUAAUACACAACUAUAAAACUACAAUAAUCAAAAUAGCAAGUUAU